RNAcentral lists this ribosomal RNA (1533 nucleotides) under Triticum aestivum (bread wheat). RNAcentral's name for it is "partial small subunit ribosomal RNA". The record is from RNAcentral. Lineage: Eukaryota; Viridiplantae; Streptophyta; Magnoliopsida; Poales; Poaceae.
AUGUCUUGCUGUACGGACGGCGCGGCCAUGGCGGCACUGCCGCUCAAGCUCCACUUCGUGCUGGUGCCGCUCCUCGCGCAGGGCCACGUCAUCCCCAUGAUGGACAUGGCGCGCCUCAUCGCCGGCCGCGGCCGCGGCGCGCGCGUCACCGUCGUCCUGACCCCCGUCCACGCCGCGCGCAACAGGGCCGUCCUGGAGCACGCCGGCCGCGCCGGGCUCGCCGUCGACUUCGCCGAGCUCGAGUUCCCGGGACCCGCGCUGGGCCUGCCCGAGGGGUGCGAGAGCCACGACAUGAUCAGGGACUACACGCAUUUCAGGCUCUUCUGCGACGCCAUGUCCCUGCUCGCCGAGCCGCUCGAGGCGUACCUCCGCGCGCUGCCGCGGCGGCCUGACUGCAUCGUCGCCGACUCGUGCAGCCCGUACCCGGCGGACGUCGCGCGGCGGCUCGGCGUCCCGCGGCUGGUGUUCCACGGCCCGUCGGCCUUCUUCCUCCUCGCGGUGCAUAACCUGGCCAAGAACGGCGUGUACGACCGCGUCGCCGACGACUUCGAGCCGUUCGAGGUGCCGGACUUCCCGGUACGCGCCGUGCUGAAUCGGGCAACGUCGCCCGGGUUCUUCCAGUCGCCGGGGCUAGAGAGGCACCGGCGCGACAUUCUCGACGCCGAGGCCACCGCCGACGGCCUGGUCCUCAACACGUGCGCGGCUUUCGAGGGCGCGUUCGUCCAGCGGUACGCCGAGGCGCUCGGCCUGAAGGUCUGGGCAAUCGGGCCACUCUGCCUCCUCGACUCCGACGCCGAAACCACGGCGGUGAGAGGUAAUCCCGCCGCCGUGGACGCCAGUCUCGUCGCGUCAUGGCUGGACGCGAGGCCGCCACAGUCCGUGCUCUACGUAAGCUUCGGCAGCGUCGCGCACUUGUUCCCGACGCAGGUCGCCGAGCUCGCUGCCGGACUGGAGGCAUCAAACCGGCCGUUCAUCUGGGUGGCCAAGGAGACCGACGGCCUCGACUCCGGUCUCGACGGGCGGGUGGAAGGGCGGGGCCUCGUCAUCCGUGGCUGGGCGCCGCAGAUGGCCAUUCUGUCCCACCCUUCCGUCGGCGGCUUCCUGACGCACUGCGGAUGGAACUCGACGCUGGAGUCUCUCUCCCACGGCGUGCCGCUUCUGACUUGGCCGCAGUUCGCCGACCAGUUCCUUACCGAGAUGCUGGUCGUGGACGUGCUCGGCGCCGGCGUCCGGACCGGCAUCAAAGUACCUAUCACGCACGUGGUCAGCAACCCCGAGAUGUCGAAAGUGCAGAUCGGGAGGGAGGCCCUGGAGAGAGCGGUGGUUGCCUUGAUGGACGAGGGGGCGGCGAUGCGGGUGAAGGCGAAGGAGCUCGCCGUGAAGGCGACGGAGGCAAUGGCGGAGGGUGGGUCCUCGGACAGCGACCUGGCGAGCUUGGUUCGCCAUGUCGCGGAGCUCGUACAGCAAGGUAAAGACGCCGUGGAGGUCCAUGACGCGCCUGACCUCAGGGAGCAGGAAGAAGAAACUAGUUGA